Molecule: small RNA, 347 nt
Filed under: Histoplasma capsulatum
Lineage: Eukaryota; Fungi; Ascomycota; Eurotiomycetes; Onygenales; Ajellomycetaceae
Also listed under: 1 other name
Description: hypothetical RNA
Source: RNAcentral
CUAUGAUAUUUUUAAGUGUUAAGAACUCUACUACUCCCUUCCACUCGCCCCCAAUUCCAUUAACCUCUUUAAGCUUGCGCUCAAUAUGACAAAUUUUGGAGCGCAGACCAGCCGAUAUAAUCGAUUAGUGAUAGCGUUUGUUGCAUUAGGCUCCUUCGUACGUGAUAGCCCUGCUUGGGAUUCCGACGCCCCAAUGUAUUUUCAAUCCUGGCUCAUGCUAACUAUUCUGCCUCGAAUGUCUUUCUAGACAUAUGGAUACUGUGCCUCUGUCAUAGGCAGCACUAUCGGUCAACCUGGCUGGUACGCUUUUUUUAAUCUCCCAUUACAGGGCGAGCCCGGUUAUACCG